Molecule: long non-coding RNA, 1756 nt
Filed under: Macaca mulatta (Rhesus monkey)
Lineage: Eukaryota; Metazoa; Chordata; Mammalia; Primates; Cercopithecidae
Description: lncRNA (ENSMMUG00000053878.1)
Source: RNAcentral
AGACACUACGGGCUGCAGGCCGGAGCUCAGACACAGCGCGCUGAAGGUCCCCAGCCGUGCCCCGCCGGGAGGCAGCCAAACCCGGCGAGAAUUUGAGUGCAGCGCGGGCAGGCCGGCACUGCUGGGGGACCUGGCACAACCACGGCAGCUGCUGGCCCGGGUGCUAGGCCCCUCACUGCCCUGGGCCCGCGGUACCGGCGGGCAGCUCCGUGUCCAGGGGCCGCCCAGCCCGCGCCCGCCGGAACUCACACUGGCCCGCGAGCGCAGCCCCGGUUCCCGCCCGGGCCUCCACACCUCCCGCAAGCAGAGGGAGGAGGCUCUGGUCCCAGCCAUCACAGAGAGGAGCUCCCACGGUGCCAUGGCAGGCCGAAGGGCCCCUCAAGUGCCGCCAGAGUGGACGCUGAGGCCGAGGAGGCGCUGAGAGAAGCUCAAGGUCAUCACUUGGCAAAGCUCCGGGGAAGAGUCUAAGACCUCGAGGCACACAUUUUAGCCCAGGAAAGUCUUUCUCAAGGACCUUGGAGACGUCUUUAUUGAAAUCUUCAUGGAAGCAUGUCCUUAUCUUCCAGUUUCUGUAAGAGGGACUCAGAACUUUGGACCGCCUUUGAAUUUAAACAAGUGUUGGGAGCUUAACCAAGCACUGGAAAGUAGAGUUACCACCCCUCACCGUACCUCUCAGAACUGGCUGACCACAAAGAAGAAGUUUCUUGCUCAAAUACCUGAUCACCACACUUACUCGUCCCAUGCUCUCAUACCUAGCUUUUUCUCUUCCUGUUUACCUCAGUAUUAAAGAAAAGCCUUUCUGCCUGAGCUCUGAGAUGCUUGUAGAUCUUACAGUUGGAGUGCACUCCCUAUUGCAAUACCCCCUACUAUUGCAGCCGUCUUUUCAAAUACAAUUUCUCCUUCUCCAAGUUUGAAUUUUUAAUUUUUUCACCUGAAAAUCAUCACCAUUUUCAUUGAUUGCCAAGCUUUCUCUCAUCUCUAUAUUCUACUGUUUUUGGUUCUGACAGCUCUUUUAUGCUGUACUACCCGUUACAAAUUUAACUACAGAAGAAUCUCAGGGGCAGGAUGAUUUUGUCACCAUGGAAAACUGUGUAAAUUAACAUGCUAGAGACAUGGAUAACCCUGAAAAACUAAAGCUGAGAAUGGUUCAAAAUUUACCAACUCCACUUUCUGAAGCAAUGGUUUUUUGACUGACUUAAAAAAAAUUGGCUGUGUGUUUUUACACAGAGUCUGAAGACAAUCUGAAAAUUCAAGUUGGCUUGAAAUUUAUAUUGGACUACCUGUGCUUUUCUACUACAAUCAGCUACUAGCCUCACCACCACCAUGAAUGAUGAUGCAUGUUUUCAAUUUUAUGCCUCUAUUCCUCGCCUGAGAAUGUUUCCAUAGAACUUGUUAUUGUUUGACUUGGGGACUUAAUAAUCUAAAAGAAACAAGUAGAAGCACCAUGGUGUCAUGAAAAUACCUCUAGGGUAGGAGUCAGGAGACCUGGGCUCUAAUAUUGGGGUUCCAUUUAUUUAUGGUGAUCUUCGGUGGACACUUAAACUCUUCUGGGCUUCCAUUUCAUUAGAAUAAUUAAUCUUACUACAUAUUUUAAAGACGCAAAGAAAUAAUGUAUCAUAUCCAGGUUUUUUUCAUAUUUAAAUAUCAUUACUUGUUUCACAUAUGUAUCCUAUAUCUUCAAUAGAUUGAGAGUUGCCUCAGAGACCCGAUAGUUCCUAACUGCUUAACAUAGCAAUAAACACAUAAUGGUUGUUCA